RNAcentral lists this long non-coding RNA (4591 nucleotides) under Canis lupus familiaris (dog). RNAcentral's name for it is "lncRNA (ENSCAFG00000059048.1, ENSCAFG00805026526.1)". The record is from RNAcentral. Lineage: Eukaryota; Metazoa; Chordata; Mammalia; Carnivora; Canidae.
UUUUUUUUUGGCUUCUAAAACCACUCAGAAAUAAUAUGAAAUAUUUUUUCUCACAUUUAUGCAUAGCUUAAAUUUUGGGCACAUUAUUUAUGUCUGACAGUCUAGAUUAAUAUCAACCAUUUCUUCUGUUUGCAAUCAACUCUAAUACUCUCCUAAAAUUAUAGAAAUCUAAAAAACACAAAAUCAAAGCUAUAACAAUUAAAUAUUUUAGUCAUAAUGAUGACAGUGAGUAGGUAGUAGUGAUCUCCAGAGUUUUUUAUUUUUGUAUAUAUAAAUCUGAAUAUAUAUUAUUUAUAUUCCCAAAUUAUUUUGUUUCUGUGAAAUUAAUUUGGGCUUGACAGUUUUUAAAAUCUUGCCUGUAUUUGGAUUUGUCUUUCUCUACUAUUACUCUUAUUUUAGAAAAUUAUGGAAAACUGAGUUUUAUCCUGGUGUAUCUCAUCCUCAACUAGCAGAUCCUUCCUUCUUUUUUUUUUUUUUUUUUUUCUUUUUCUUUUUGGCCAUCCAGGCUUUCUUUUUUAAAAAAAAAACGUUAUUGAGAUAUGACUUACAGAUCACAACUUUCACCCAUUUAAAGUAUCUAAUUAAAUGUGUUUAAGUGUAUUUACAUAGCUGUGCAGCCAUCACCAUAAUCUGAUUUCAAAACAAUUUCAUCAUCCCUAAAAGAAACCUUGUGCCCAAUAGCAGACACUUCCUAUUCUCUCUUCAUUCUUCCAUAGCCCUAGUCAGUCACUACCAUAUUUUCUGUCUAUAUAGACUUGCUUAUCCUGGACAUUUCAUAUUGAUAUAAUUAUUUAAUAUGUAGUGCUUAUGACUGGCUCUUCACUUAUACAUCACUCAUGAGGUUCAUCCAAUUGGUGUAUGUAUUAGAAUUUCAUUCAUUUGUUCCCGAAAAAUAUUUUAUAGUGUAGAUACAACAUAUUUUGUUUACCCAUACACCGGUUGAUAGACAUUUGAGUUGUUUGCAUGUCUUAGCUAUUAUGAAUGAUGUAGCUAUGAAUAUUCAUGUAGAAAUUUCUGCAUGCACUUUUUUUCUCUUGGGUACAUACCUAAUUGUAGAAUUGCUCAGUAACAUGGUAACUCUAUACUGAACCUAUUGAGGAACUCCCAAAUGGUUUUUCCAAAGGAAUUCACCAUUUUACAUUCCCACCAGCAUUCACUCCUCCAUAUUCUUUUAUUUGUAAAGACUUCAUUUAUUUAUUUGAGAGAGAGAAAGAAAACACACAUGAGUGGGGUAGGAGGAGUGGAGGGAAAGAAACAAGCCCACCCUCUGCUAAGCAGGGGGCAGGUAUGGGGCUUGAUCCCAGGACUCUGGAAUCAUGACCUGAGCUGAAGGCAGAUGCUUAACUGACUGAGCCACCCAGGUGCCCAAUUCCUCCAUAUUCUUGACAACUUUUUCAUUGUGUGUUUAUUAUAGCCAUCCCAGUAGAUGUGAAGUAACAUUUCAUUUAGUUUCAAUUUGCAUUUCUGUAAUGACUAAUGAUGUUGGGCAUCUUUGCAUGUGAUUAUUAGCUAUUUGAUAUCUUGUUUGGAGAAACACAUAUUCAAAUCUCUUGCCCAUUUAUGAAGUGGGUUAUUUUCAUUUGCAUUAUUGAAUAGAAAGGGUUCUGUUUUUUUCUGGAUAUAAAUCCCACAUCAAAUAUAUAAUUUGCAAAUAUUUUUUCCCAUUCUGUGGGUUAUUUUUUCAGUUUGUUCAUGGGGCUACUUGCAGCAGGACUUUUCAUUUUGAUAAUGUUCAAUUUGUCUACUUUUUUUCUUUUGUUGUCAUGCUUUAGGUGUUGUACUUAAUAAACCAUUGUCUAACCCCAAAUCAUAAUUGAUUCCUAAUACAUUUUCUUCCAAGGACUUUAGAGUUUUAGUUUUUACAUUUAGAUCUGUAAUGUAUUUCAAAAUCAUUGUUGCGUAUGGAGUAAGUAAUGGAUUUAACUUUGUUCUUUUGCGUGUGGUCAUCUAAUUGUUCCAACACCAUUUGUUGAAGAGACUACUCUUUCUCCCAUUGAAUUGUUCUGGGCAACUUGUCAAAAAUUAAUUGACCAUAAAUGUGAAGGUUUAUUUUUGGACCCUUAUUGAUCUGCAUUUUCUAUCUUUAUGGCAGUACCACACCACCUUGAGACUCUUUCAACUUUUAAUAACCAUUUUUCUCACAAGAGAAAUGUGUGAGUGCAUGUGAGAGAGAGAAAAUGAGGAAGCACCUUAUUAAAGCCUUUAAGAGGGGGCAAGGAAAGCUUUGUUCCUCUUGAGAAAGAAUUUCCCUAGAAGCUCUGAUAUGUCAAGAAUAUUUGGAAAACAACAUACACCAUGCCCCCUGCUGGGGCUAGAGUAAGGACUAAACAAUGCACAUUAGCCUAAUAAAAUGUUCUGAGAAGUGUUUGGCUUCAUUCAGCCAGAGUUUUCUAAAUUUUGUUGGUCAAGAAAAAUUUUGCUUUCUUUUUUUACAUAUAACAUGUAAUAAUAACCCGUAAACAAAUCUGGGAAAAUUCUGAUAUAACCCAUGCAGAGUGAGGAUCUAGUAAAACAAAGGCAGAAUCAAUACAUCUGGCUUUGAAAGGUUUGACCUCUAGUGGCUAGAACUUAAUGUGUUAUUUAAUGGUGCACACUUGGAUAUGAACACUGAAGAAAUUAUUUUUGCAUGGAGUUCUAGGUAGCAGACAUUGUGGGAAUCAUCUUUGCUUUUUUUUCCCUUCUAUUGUAUCUCUAAAUCUCUUCCAGAAAACUUUUCUUUAUUAAAGCCAGCUUACUAGGAAUCUAUUUUCCUAGUACCUACUAUGUACUACUAGGUAUGAUGCUUUGUGUAUCUGCUCUUUACAAUAACCCAAUAAUGUAGGUGUUAUCUCUAUUUUACAAAGGAGGGCAUGGAGACUCUAAGUAAAUUUCCCCCCAAGUUGCAGUUAGAAACUGUUAGAUUUAGUUUUGUUAGAUUCCAAAGUUUAUAUUAAGAACAACAGCAAAAAAGGAAUUAGUUUUUUCAGACAGUAGACGAGCGACUGGUUUUCUAUCACUACAGAGCACCUUGAACUCAAAAGCAAGGAAGAAAGUAUUAUUGCUCUCAUCACCAAGGGAAUAUAUGAAUGAGUUAAUUCCAGGGACAACAUCACUCACUCUGCCAUACUCAAUCUACAAUUGCUACCAAUAUAAACAGCUUCCACUCUCCCCUCUCUCCUUACCCAGAUCCUGCAGUUAUUCCUGUGGUCAUUUCCUCAAGGACAUCUUCCCUGACCUCUGAGCACCCUAUACUUACCUUUACCUUAGCACGAUUAUAAUUCAAUUAUUAAUUAUAUUCUGCAUCUCCUCAAUUGAAAUAUCACCUCUUUAAUUUGUCUUGUUCAUUGCUGUGACCUCAACAUAUAGGGUGUUCACUGCCUCCAGAGAAGUUGAAACGUACUGUAGCAAUGUGGAGUGAUAGACAUAUUAACUUACCUUAUAGUGGUAACCAUAUUGUAGUAUACACAGAUAUCAAACCACUACAUCAUGUAUCUUAAACUUAUAUGGUGUUAUAUGCCAAUUAUAUCCAAUGAAGCUGGGAGCUAAAAAGAGAAGCUGAAGUGUUUUUUGUUGGAUGAAUGGAGGUAUUCAUUUGAAUUACACCAUCUGCCAUUAUACAGAGUUUUAUUUAUAGCCCCUUUUGAUUUACUAUAUUUGUAGUGGAAAGUGAACAUAAUCCUAAAAGGCAAUAAUUAUUUGAGCAUAUUUAUAGUUUUAUCAAACUUGACUGUGGAUCUGUAUCUCUCCCACCUCACUCUGCUCCCCCCUCUCUCUCUCCUUUUCUAUUUUUUUUAUCUCCCUAUCUACCUACUCCUCCUUCUUAUAGUUCAGUUGUAUUACUGAAAACUUGAAAGCUAGCUGGGCAAAGGAAAAGAGGGAAUGCCAUAUUAAUUCUAAAAGUAGAUUAAUCCACUCUGUAAAUAGUUGAGCCAUAAUAUGUACUAUAUGUUCAAAAUUCAGAGUUCACUGAAAAUUUGCUCUGGCCUAAGUAGUCAUAAUAAAGAUAUAUUUUGUGUAAUUGUGUAGAUAAUACAAGAAAGUGUCUCUUCUGCACUCUACCUCUGACCCCCCUUUCAAGUCUCCACUCUAGGCAGGAGAAAAGAAAAGACAAAGACGGAAGAGGCAAUAGGAUCUGAUAUCAUGUCACUGUUGUGUAUAAAAGUGCGUCUGAGUAUAAGGUAUGGGUUUUAUUGUCCACAAAGGCUCAACUUGAGUUUUGAGGUUGAGUUCUGUAUAUUUGAACAUGCCAUGUAUGGAUGAGCAUGACUUCUUUUUUAGACCAGCUCAACAUCGCUUAAUGUGAACCUUAAAUCAAGUCUUGUGGUUCAGGUUGGUUAUUUGCAGUAUAUUACAGACCUGCAUUGAUUAAUUUCGUAUCUAGGGCUCAGAGUCGACCAGUUCAAUCUUACAAACACUGUAUAACAUGACUACUGCAGCCAGACUUAAAACAUGCAAUCUUCUUUUCAAUUCUAAUUUUAAUAUUUUGUAAUAGGCUAUAUGCAUCUCAUUUGUAUUUAUAAAUGAGAUCCGUGUGAGUUGGAAAUGAAACUGCAAGCACAUGUUAAUCAUAUAUGCAGGACUCUAGCAUUGGGCAUAAAUAUAUACCCACCUA